Long non-coding RNA from Homo sapiens (human), 2048 nucleotides. The record is from Ensembl. NCBI's taxonomy places the organism in Eukaryota, Metazoa, Chordata, Mammalia, Primates, Hominidae.
UUGAGAUAACUGUAGAUUUAAAUACGGUUGUAAGAAACAAUACAGAGAGAUCCUGUAUACCUUCCACUUGGUUCCCCCACCAUGCUAACAUCUUGUAUAAUUGUUGUAUAACAUCACAGCCAAGAAAAAAUCAUUAGUAUAGUCCACACACCUUCAGAUUUGGCCGGAUUUACGUGCACUGUAUGAGAUGUACAUCUGUGCAUUUUUAUCAUACGUGUAGCUUUGUGUGACGCCAGCAUUUUUAAGCAAUUGAAUAGUAUCAGAGUGCAUUACAUCUGUUAAGGGUAAGUGUUGAUGUGGAAACGUAUUUUAGUUACAUAUGCACAUCAUGACUGGAUUGUAGAAAUGUCUCUUGACUGUGAGUCACAGUGGAGAAUUUUGAAAACCACAGGUCGUUCAGUCAUCAGACUUGAUUUUAUUUCACUAAAAUGGGCUGCUAGAGAGCUCAAGGUACUCUGAUUUCUAAUUGGCUGCUCAGGGUGCCCCUGACCACUUACUUCUGGUACUUGGAAAACCUAGAUUAAUUGGAUAUAUUGACAGCAACAUAUGCAUUCUCUACCCCAUGAGUUAUUUAAGGGGUUUUCAAGUGUAAUUUUGACUAGAAGCAGUUUUUGCUCUUUUUUUGUUUUAAUUUUAGUUUUUAGAGACAGGGUCUCACUGUGUUGCCGAGGCUGUACUCAAGCUCCUGACCUCCGGAGUAGCUGGAACUACAGGCACCUGCCACUAUGUCCAGCUGAGUUUUUGCUUUCUUCCUUAGUAGAACAUAACUAAUGUUGGAGCUCACUGUACUCUUUUGCCAGUAGUAGGAAUCCGAUUUCUGGUAAGUACUGUAGGUGACAGAACCAAGGUUGCUUAGAAGAUAUGGAGUUAGGAGAAAAAUGAAAAGGCAUAAAUAUUUUCUACAGCAGUAAAUCCUAAGGAAGUAACUAGUUCCAAGACACUGUCAACAUUAAAAAUCCAUAGUGCAGGCUGAGCACAGUGGCUCACACCUGUAAUCGUAGCACUUUGUGAGGAUGAGGAAGGAGGAUUGCUUGAUCCCGGGAGUUUGAGACCAGCCUGGGUAACGGUGAGACUCCUUCUCCAUCUCUAUAAAAAUAAAUCUGGCUGGGCACGGUGGCUCACGCCUGUAAUCCCAGCACUUUGGGAGGCCAAUGCGGGUGGAUCACCUGAGGUCAGGAGUUUGAGACCAGCCUGGCCAACAUGGUGAAACCCCAUCUCUACUAAAAAAAAAUUAGCUGGGCAUGGUGGCGGGUGCCUGUAAUCCCAGCUACUCGGGAGGCGGAGGCAGGAGAAUCACUUGAACCCAGGAGGCGGAGGUUGCAGUGAGCCAAGAUACGCCAUUGCACUCCAGCCUGGACAACAAGAGCGAAACUCUGUCUCAAAAAUAAAUAAAUGUGUAGUGCAGCCUGGACAACAUGGCAAGACCCUGCCUCUACAAAAAAUAAAAAUCGGCUGGAUGUGGUGGUGCAUGCCUGUGGUCCCAGCUACUCAAGAGGCUGAGGCAGGAGGAUUGCUUGAGCCCUGAAGGUCAAGGCUGCAAUGAGCUGUGUCGUGCCACUCCACUCCAGCCUGGGCAACAGAGUGAGACCCUGUCCCAGAAAAAAGAAAAAUCCAUACUGGUGUAAACCCGUAUCCAGAUUGACUCUUCUCUUAACAAGGACACACUUGGCGUUAGUAUGGAUCUAGCCUCAAAGACCCUCGUCACAGAUGAAGCAGCCCAUCGUGACCAGUCGAGGCCUUAGGACCGCAGGAGGAAUGUCUCAGGAUGAGGGUCAAGCACACUGAGGGUGUGGGCUGGAAAAAAGGGAUCUAGUUGUUUCUUCCUAGUCUCAGGAAGCCAGUGCCCCAAGGGUUCACACCUGGUAAGUGUAGGCGUCCUUGGAUAUGGGCUGUAGAGGAACAGUUUGAAUCCAGGUGCCGCCAUCUAAUAGCUAUGUGACAGCAAAUUUCUUAAUCUGAGCCCUGGUAGCCUCAUUUAAAUUGGACAUAAUGCCACCUACCUGAGGAUUUGUAAAAGGAAAAGAGAAUAAAUGUCUGUUACAUCAUAA